AUUCCAGCUCCAAUAGCGUAUAUUAAAGUUGCUGCAGUUAAAAAGCUCGUAGUUGGAUUUGUGGCGUGGUCGUCCGGCGGGGCUCCUUCAUUGGGGCCGUUUGUCUGGUUUUUCGACCGCCCCAUUCUCGGGUAGUGUGUCGCUGGCAUUAGGUUGUCGGCUUCUUCACGCCCGUCGUUUACUGUGAAAAAAUUAGAGUGUUCAAAGCAGGCUUAGGCCGUUGGAUACAUUAGCAUGGAAUAAUGAGAUAGGGCCACGACGGUCUAUUUUGUUGGUUUGCACGUUGUGGUAAUGAUUAACAGGAACGGUUGGGGGUAUUCGUAUUCAAUUGUCAGAGGUGAAAUUCUUGGAUUUAUGGAAGACGAACUACUGCGAAAGCAUUUACCAAGGAUGUUUUCAUUA
RNAcentral lists this ribosomal RNA (402 nucleotides) under Phaeophyceae sp. RNAcentral describes it as "partial small subunit ribosomal RNA". It matches the Rfam family "Eukaryotic small subunit ribosomal RNA", at positions 582 to 975 of the family's 1831-position model. Lineage: Eukaryota; Phaeophyceae. The record is from RNAcentral.